GCGGACGUGGCCAAGUGGUUAAGGCAAUGGAUUGUGAUUCCGUUAUGCGCGGGUUCGAGUCCCGUCGUUCGCC
Molecule: transfer RNA, 73 nt
Filed under: Cosmarium botrytis
Lineage: Eukaryota; Viridiplantae; Streptophyta; Zygnematophyceae; Desmidiales; Desmidiaceae
Description: tRNA-His
Rfam family: tRNA
About the family: Transfer RNA (tRNA) molecules are approximately 80 nucleotides in length. Their secondary structure includes four short double-helical elements and three loops (D, anti-codon, and T loops).
Source: RNAcentral